RNAcentral lists this ribosomal RNA (277 nucleotides) under uncultured bacterium. RNAcentral's name for it is "partial 16S ribosomal RNA". It matches the Rfam family "Bacterial small subunit ribosomal RNA", at positions 333 to 607 of the family's 1533-position model. The record is from RNAcentral.
CCAUACCUACGGGAGGCAGCAGUGAGGAAUAUUGGUCAAUGGGCGGGAGCCUGAACCAGCCAAGCCGCGUGAGGGAAGAAGGUACAGCGUAUCGUAAACCUCUUUUGUCAGGGAACAAAGGCGGGGACUAGUCCCCGGAUGAGGGUACCUGAAGAAAAAGCAUCGGCUAACUCCGUGCCAGCAGCCGCGGUAAUACGGAGGAUGCGAGCGUUAUCCGGAUUUAUUGGGUUUAAAGGGUGCGUAGGCGGGACCUUAAGUCAGCGGUAAAAUUGCGGUG